Molecule: unclassified non-coding RNA, 336 nt
Filed under: soil metagenome
Description: partial contains 5.8S ribosomal RNA, internal transcribed spacer 2, and large subunit ribosomal RNA
Rfam family: 5.8S ribosomal RNA (bases 1-120)
Source: RNAcentral
GAUGAAGAACGUAGCGAAAUGCGAUAAGUAAUGUGAAUUGCAGAAUUCAGUGAAUCAUCGAAUCUUUGAACGCACAUUGCGCCCGCCAGUAUUCUGGCGGACAUGCCUGUUCGAGCGUCAUUUCAACCAUCAAGCCCCAGGCUUGUGUUGGGGACCUGCGGCUGCCGCAGGCCCUGAAAACCAGUGGCGGGCUCGCUGUCACACCGGGCGUAGUAGAUUUUAUCUCGCUCAGGGCGUGCUGCGGGUUCCGGCCGUUAAAAAGCCUUUUUUACCCAAGGUUGACCUCGGAUCAGGUAGGAAUACCCGCUGAACUUAAGCAUAUCAAUAAGCGGAGGA